UACGUAGGGUGCGAGCGUUGUCCGGAAUUAUUGGGCGUAAAGAGCUCGUAGGCGGUGUGUCACGUCGUUCGUGAAAACCUGCAGCUUAACUGUGGGCGUGCGGUCGAUACGGGCAUCACUGGAGUUCGGCAGGGGAGACUGGAAUUCCUGGUGUAGCGGUGAAAUGCGCAGAUAUCAGGAGGAACACCAGUGGCGAAGGCGGCCAACUGGUCCGGUACUGACGCUGAGGUGCGAAAGCGUGGGGAGCAAACAGG
Molecule: ribosomal RNA, 254 nt
Filed under: uncultured bacterium
Lineage: Bacteria
Description: partial 16S ribosomal RNA
Rfam family: Bacterial small subunit ribosomal RNA
Source: RNAcentral